This 389-nucleotide ribosomal RNA is filed under the name uncultured bacterium. RNAcentral's name for it is "bacterial SSU rRNA". It matches the Rfam family "Bacterial small subunit ribosomal RNA", at positions 60 to 444 of the family's 1533-position model. The record is from RNAcentral.
AGUCGAGGGGCAGCACAGGUAGCAAUACCGGGUGGCGACCGGCGCACGGGUGAGUAACGCGUAUGCAACUUGCCUAUCAGAGGGGGAUAACCCGGCGAAAGUCGGACUAAUACCGCAUGAAGCAGGGGCCCCGCAUGGGGAUAUUUGCUAAAGAUUCAUCGCUGAUAGAUAGGCAUGCGUUCCAUUAGGCAGUUGGCGGGGUAACGGCCCACCAAACCGACGAUGGAUAGGGGUUCUGAGAGGAAGGUCCCCCACAUUGGUACUGAGACACGGACCAAACUCCUACGGGAGGCAGCAGUGAGGAAUAUUGGUCAAUGGGCGCGAGCCUGAACCAGCCAAGUCGCGUGAGGGAUGAAGGUUCUAUGGAUCGUAAACCUCUUUUAUAAGGG